Molecule: transfer RNA, 85 nt
Filed under: Methyloversatilis sp. RAC08
Lineage: Bacteria; Pseudomonadati; Pseudomonadota; Betaproteobacteria; Nitrosomonadales; Sterolibacteriaceae
Also listed under: 12 other names
Description: tRNA-Leu
Rfam family: tRNA
About the family: Transfer RNA (tRNA) molecules are approximately 80 nucleotides in length. Their secondary structure includes four short double-helical elements and three loops (D, anti-codon, and T loops). Further hydrogen bonds mediate the characteristic L-shaped molecular structure. tRNAs have two regions of fundamental functional importance: the anti-codon, which is responsible for specific mRNA codon recognition, and the 3' end, to which the tRNAs corresponding amino acid is attached (by aminoacyl-tRNA synthetases). tRNAs cope with the degeneracy of the genetic code in two manners: having more than one tRNA (with a specific anti-codon) for a particular amino acid; and 'wobble' base-pairing, i.e. permitting non-standard base-pairing at the 3rd anti-codon position.
Source: RNAcentral
GCCCAGGUGGCGAAAUUGGUAGACGCACCAGAUUUAGGUUCUGGCGCCGCAAGGCGUGGGGGUUCGAGUCCCUUCCUGGGCACCA